This 21-nucleotide microRNA is filed under the name Mus musculus (house mouse). RNAcentral describes it as "mmu-miR-873a-3p". Its record names the gene mmu-miR-873a-3p. The record is from miRBase by way of RNAcentral. RNAcentral also lists the same sequence under 1 other name. Lineage: Eukaryota; Metazoa; Chordata; Mammalia; Rodentia; Muridae.
GAGACUGACAAGUUCCCGGGA